RNAcentral lists this ribosomal RNA (252 nucleotides) under uncultured bacterium. RNAcentral describes it as "partial 16S ribosomal RNA". It matches the Rfam family "Bacterial small subunit ribosomal RNA", at positions 524 to 776 of the family's 1533-position model. The record is from RNAcentral.
UACGUAGGGUGCAAGCGUUAAUCGGAAUUACUGGGCGUAAAGCGUGCGUAGGCGGCUAUGUAAGACAGAUGUGAAAUCCCUGGGCUUAACCUAGGAACUGCAUUUGUGACUGCAUUGCUGGAGUGUGGUAGAGGGAGAUGGAAUUCCGCAUGUAGCAGUGAAAUGCGUAGAUAUGCGGAGGAACACCAAUGGCGAAGGCAAUCUCCUGGACCUGCACUGACGCUCAUGCACGAAAGCGUGGGAGCAAACAGG